RNAcentral lists this ribosomal RNA (512 nucleotides) under uncultured organism. RNAcentral describes it as "partial 16S ribosomal RNA". It matches the Rfam family "Bacterial small subunit ribosomal RNA", at positions 51 to 541 of the family's 1533-position model. The record is from RNAcentral.
ACUCAUGCAAGUCCCAUGCGAGCUUAACGUNCGGGCGUUGAGUAGCAUGGCAGACGGGUGAGGAGCGCGUAUCUGACUGGACUCAGGCUGNUUGAUAGGUGCGUCGACGGNGGUUGAAUACCGCAUGUGCUCGGUGCUGUGAGGGCAUCGAGGAAAGUUGGCCUCUGCGGGCACGCUGAUGGCCUGAGACAGGCAUGCGUCCUAUUAGCUAGCUGGUGGGGUAAGGGCCUACCAGGGCGACGAUGGGUAGCUGGUCUGAGAGGAUGAUCAGCCACACUGGGACUGCGAGAGGGCCCAGACUCCUACGGGAGGCAGCAGUGGGGAAUUUUGCGCAAUGGGCGCAAGCCUGACGCAGCAACGCCGCGUGCAUGACGACGCCUUUCGAGGUGUAAAGUGCUGUCGAGCGGGACGAAAGGGCGAGGGUGAACAGCUUUCGCGCAUGACGGUACCGGUGGAGGAAGCGCCGGAUAACUCCGUGCCAGCAGCCGCGGUAAGACGGAGGGGGCGAGCGU